RNAcentral lists this ribosomal RNA (460 nucleotides) under uncultured bacterium. RNAcentral's name for it is "partial 16S ribosomal RNA". It matches the Rfam family "Bacterial small subunit ribosomal RNA", at positions 338 to 795 of the family's 1533-position model. The record is from RNAcentral.
CCUACGGGAGGCAGCAGUGAGGAAUAUUGGUCAAUGGACGAGAGUCUGAACCAGCCAAGUAGCGUGAAGGAUGACUGCCCUAUGGGUUGUAAACUUCUUUUAUAAAGGAAUAAAACGAGGCAAGUGUGCCUUUUUGCAUGUACUUUAUGAAUAAGAAUCGGCUAACUCCGUGCCAGCAGCCGCGGUAAUACGGAGGAUCCGAGCGUUAUCCGGAUUGAUUGGGUUUAAAGGGAGCGUAGAUGGGUUGUUAAGUCAGUUGUGAAAGUUUGCGGCUCAACCGUAAAAUUGCAAUUGAUACUGGCAGUCUUGAGUACAGUGGAGGUAAGCGGAAUUCGUGGUGUAGCGGUGAAAUGCUUAGAUAUCACGAAGAACCCCGAUUGCGAAGGCAGCUUACUAAACUGUGACUGACAUUGAUGCUCGAAAGUGUGGGUAUCAAACAGGAUUAGAUACCCUAGUAGUC